UACGAAGGGGGCUAGCGUUGCUCGGAAUUACUGGGCGUAAAGCGCGCGCAGGCGGUCUUCCAAGUCAGUGGUGAAAGCCCGGAGCUCAACUCCGGAACUGCCAUUGAAACUGUAAGACUUGAGGACGAGAGAGGUGAGUGGAAUUCCCAGUGUAGAGGUGAAAUUCGUAGAUAUUGGGAAGAACACCGGUGGCGAAGGCGGCUCACUGGCUCGUAUCUGACGCUCAGGCGCGACAGCGUGGGGAUCAAACAGG
RNAcentral lists this ribosomal RNA (253 nucleotides) under uncultured bacterium. RNAcentral describes it as "partial 16S ribosomal RNA". It matches the Rfam family "Bacterial small subunit ribosomal RNA", at positions 524 to 776 of the family's 1533-position model. The record is from RNAcentral.